This 539-nucleotide ribosomal RNA is filed under the name uncultured bacterium. RNAcentral describes it as "bacterial SSU rRNA". It matches the Rfam family "Bacterial small subunit ribosomal RNA", at positions 355 to 894 of the family's 1533-position model. The record is from RNAcentral.
UAAGGAAUAUUGGUCAAUGGACGCAAGUCUGAACCAGCCAUGCCGCGUGGAGGAUGAAGGCCCUCUGGGUUGUAAACUUCUUUUAUUUGGGAAGAAACCCAUUUUUUCUAAAGUGGUUGACGGUACCAGAUGAAUAAGCACCGGCUAACUCCGUGCCAGCAGCCGCGGUAAUACGGAGGGUGCAAGCGUUAUCCGGAUUCACUGGGUUUAAAGGGUGCGUAGGUGGGCAGGUAAGUCAGUGGUGAAAUCUCCGGGCUUAACCCGGAAACUGCCGUUGAUACUAUCUGUCUUGAAUAUCGUGGAGGUGAGCGGAAUAUGUCAUGUAGCGGUGAAAUGCUUAGAUAUGACAUAGAACAUCAAUUGCGAAGGCAGCUCGCUACACGGUUAUUGACACUGAGGCACGAAAGCGUGGGGAUCAAACAGGAUUAGAUACCCUGGUAGUCCACGCCCUAAACGAUGAUUACUCGACAUAUGCGAUACACAGUAUGUGUCUGAGCGAAAGCAUUAAGUAAUCCACCUGGGAAGUACGACCGCAAGGU